Molecule: long non-coding RNA, 2799 nt
Organism: Adelges cooleyi (spruce gall adelgid)
Lineage: Eukaryota; Metazoa; Arthropoda; Insecta; Hemiptera; Adelgidae
Exons: 3
Source: RefSeq, a predicted model, not a curated record
CUUUUAAAAAUAUUUUGUAGUAAUAAAGUUAAUAAUUCGACCGAAUGGUUCGAAUCGUUAAUUAUCUUACAUAAAAUUAAUAUUUCACAAACAGGGAAAACUGGCCUAGGUUAUAUUCAAUCUCGAAUCAUCAAAUGGUAUAACCUAUUGACUUUGAAAGAGAGUGCAGACUCACGGAAACCCAAACACCCUUAACUUUGUUAUUACAAAGUUACACAUACACGUACGGGAUUGGUCUUAAAACUAUAGGAAACCCUUUCAAAUGGCCCUGCAUGGUUACUGCUCACAUGCUUAUGAUAAAAUGAUCUAGCUCAAAUUUUUAGUUGGUGAAAAUAACACAAAAUACCUGAUACUAAUAAUGUUUUCAGGUUUGGUUUUUUACCAUCGAAUAGAUAAUAAAUGCUAAAAAACUUUUCAGAUGUUACCAGUUAUUAGUUAUCAGUUACCAGUUAUCUGUUAUCAGUUAUUACAAUAAUAAUAAAAAAUGUCGGGUAAACGACAUUGUACUGAAUAAAUAUUAGUCUGGUUACAUAGUAAUCGAAUAUUCAGCUCUAUAUUUCAGCGCCUGUGUAGUACCAAGUAAAUCUACCACGAGCUUCGGAUUGGAAGAUCUGUACAGAAAUGUAGUAGGUAUCAGGUAAGGUAUAAAUUUCUUAUAAAAAUAUCUUGUAGUAAUAAUUGUUAAUAAUUCGACCGAAUAGUUCGAAUGGUUAAUUAUCUUACAUAAAAUUAAUAUUUCAUAAAUAGGGAAAACUGGCCUAGGUUAUAUUCAAUCUCGAAUCAUCAAAUGGUAUAACCUAUUGACUUUGAGAGUGAGUGCAGACUCACGGAAACCCAAACACCCUUAACUUUGUUAUUACAAAGUUACACAUACACGUACGGGAUUGGUCUUAAAACUAUAGGAAACCCUUUCAAAUGGCCCUGCAUGGUUACUGCUCACAUGCUUAUGUAAAAAUGAUCUAGCUCAAAUUUUUAGUUGGUGAAAAUAACACAAAAUACCUGAUACUAAUAAUGUUAUCAGGUUUGGUUUUUUACCAUCGAAUAGAUAAUAAAUGCUAAAAAACUUUUCAGAAGUCAUCAGUUAUCACAAUAAUAAUAAAAAAUGUCGGGUAAACGACAUUGUAUCGAAUAAAUAUUAAUCUGGUUACAUAGUAAUCGAAUAUUCAGCUCUAUAUUUCAGCGCCUGUGUAGUACUAAGUAAAUCUACCACGAGCUUCGGAUUGGAAGAUCUGUACAGAAAUGUAGUAGGUAUCAGGUAAGGUAUAAAUUUCUUAUAAAAAUAUCUUGUAGUAAUAAUUGUUAAUAAUUCGACCGAAUAGUUCGAAUGGUUAAUUAUCUUACAUAAAAUUAAUAUUUCAUAAAUAGGGAAAACUGGCCUAGGUUAUAUUCAAUCUCGAAUCAUCAAAUGGUAUAACCUAUUGACUUUGAGAGUGAGUGCAGACUCACGGAAACCCAAACACCCUUAACUUUGUUAUUACAAAGUUACACAUACACGUACGGGAUUGGUCUUAAAACUAUAGGAAACCCUUUUAAAUGGCCCUGCAUGGUUACUGCUCACAUGCUUAUGUAAAAAUGAUCUAGCUCAAAUUUUUAGUUGGUGAAAAUAACACAAAAUACCUAAUACUAAAAUACUAAAAUACUUAAUAAUGUUUUCAGGUUUGGUUUUUUACCAUCGAAUAGAUAAUAAAUGCUAAAAAACUUUUCAGAUGUUACCAGUUAUUAGUUAUCAGUUACCAGUUACCAGUUAUCUGUUAUCAGUUAUUACAAUAAUAAAAAAAAAUGGGUUAACAACAUUGUACCGAAUAAAUAUUAAUUUGGUUAAAUAUUAAUCGCAUAUUCAGCUCUAUUUUUCAGCGCCCGUGUAGUACCAAGUAAAUCUACCACGAGCUUCGGAUUGGAAGACCUGUACAGAAAUGUCGUAGAUUUUAGGUUUGCUGGAGAACUCUGAAAGUAUCUCAUCGACAACCGAAGACUACUCAAAAAGUACAUUUCGACGCGAUUUCAAAUUCUUUAAAGAGAUUCGAGUUCUUUGGCUACCAACACCGACAUUGAUUGUAAUAAUCUCAUCACGACCAAUCCGUUAUUAUAUUCGAGUUGUUAUAACUGAAAGUGAUAAAAGCGAUUCGAUGACAGUCCUACACCUCCGCCGCCACUGAACGUCGUAUAUGAAUGAGUGCUAACGUGCAAGUCAAGCGACAUUAAGUGUUUUUCUAUGGUCAACGUUGUAGGUAACCUAUAACAGCUUAUGUUAUGUUUGUAUUGUAUACAUUUGUCGCGUAAACUACUCUGGGUCAUUUUUUUGUUCGAUAUCUGAGCGUUUUCUGCAAGUCCUUUCAUCGAUAAACUUAAUGUAAACCGACACAAAUCCCACUCAAUGAGCGUGCAUAAAUUAACUUAAAUUAAGGCGACUGUUGUGAAUGGUAAUGAUUUUUGGCAACGUUUUUCAUCAUUACCAUUAGGUUAACGUAACUACACUUUUGUAUUGUAAACUACACAGAGUCUUCAUAAUUUUACAUUAUAAAAAUUUUAAAAUCAAAUAUAUUUUAUGCAAAGCUCAGAAAAAUCCCUAAUUCAUUCAUAAUUGCGAAAGAAGAACAAGACGACAGCUUCGCCGACAAAGAAGAGUGACGGAUCGUUGACCACAGACCAAGAAGAAGCGACCAUGAAGAACCUUAUCGCAAUAAUUUUUUUUUUAACUUGUUAUUGGUUUCUCGUGUUUCUAUGUACCAUCUUUCGACUUCGGAUGAUGCUCAAUGACCCAGAUGCUUAUUAUAAUAGAUUUUUUACACAAACAUACUC